This 245-nucleotide ribosomal RNA is filed under the name uncultured Spirochaeta sp. Its description in RNAcentral is "partial 16S ribosomal RNA". It matches the Rfam family "Bacterial small subunit ribosomal RNA", at positions 1144 to 1382 of the family's 1533-position model. Lineage: Bacteria; Pseudomonadati; Spirochaetota; Spirochaetia; Spirochaetales; Spirochaetaceae. The record is from RNAcentral.
CGGGACCGACCGGUAGACGAAACCGGAGGGAAGGUGGGGACGACGUACAAGUCAUCAUCCGGCCUUAUGUCCUGGGCUACACACGUGCUACAAUGGCCGGUACAGAGCGCAGCGAGGCCGCGAGGCGGAGCGAAUCGCUUAAAGCCGGUCCCAGUACGGAUUGGAGUCUGCAACCCGACUCCAUGAAGUUGGAAUCGCUAGUAAUCGCGCAUCAGCAUGGCGCGGUGAAUACGUUCCCGGGCCUU